This 491-nucleotide ribosomal RNA is filed under the name uncultured bacterium. Its description in RNAcentral is "partial 16S ribosomal RNA". It matches the Rfam family "Bacterial small subunit ribosomal RNA", at positions 29 to 507 of the family's 1533-position model. The record is from RNAcentral.
AGUGAACGCUGGCGGUAGGCCUAACACAUGCAAGUCGAACGGCAGCACAGUAAGAGCUUGCUCUUACGGGUGGCGAGUGGCGGACGGGUGAGGAAUACAUCGGAAUCUACUUUUUCGUGGGGGAUAACGUAGGGAAACUUACGCUAAUACCGCAUACGACCUACGGGUGAAAGCAGGGGAUCUUCGGACCUUGCGCGAUUGAAUGAGCCGAUGCCGGAUUAGCUAGUUGGCGGGGUAAAGGCCCACCAAGGCGACGAUCCGUAGCUGUCUGAGAGGAUGAUCAGCCACACUGGAACUGAGACACGGUCCAGACUCCUACGGGAGGCAGCAGUGGGGAAUAUUGGACAAUGGGCGCAAGCCUGAUCCAGCCAUGCCGCGUGGGUGAAGAAGGCCUUCGGGUUGUAAAGCCCUUUUGUUGGGAAAGAAAAGCAGCAGGUUAAUACCCCGCUGUUCUGACGGUACCCAAAGAAUAAGCACCGGCUAACUUCGUG